AUUGCUCUCUACAACUACCUGAAGGGAGGUUGUGUUGAGAUGGAAGUUGGCCUCUGCUCCAGGAUAACAGCAAUGGAAUGAGAGGUCAAGUUGCACCAGGGAGAUUCAGCUUCUAAGGUUAAUCUUUCCAUGUGGAGAGACUUUCUGGAUAGAUCAAUCCCUGAAAUGAUGAGCCUUCCUCGGAGGGAAUUUUAGAGCAUGGUCUAGGAUGGACAGGAUAAAUCACACAUUCAAGGAGAAAUUUCAUGGAAUGGCAGUGUUUUGACAGUUAGAAGUCUUUCAGGCACCAAGCAAGACUACUGAAAGUUUUUAAGUCUACGGCUCAUAGCAGUACUUCUUUUCCUUUUCCAAGAAGGUUAUCUACUCAUUAAAGAGGAAUUACAUCAGUUGCACUGUUUUUUAUAUACAGGUAAGGGAAGAAAUCUAUUCAGACUGGAAAAGGCGGAUGGGAUUUUGUGUACUGGGUUUGCAGGAGAUGAUUCUGAAGACUGACUGAGAAGCUAAUUCAUUGGUCGCUUGAAAAUAAGUCUGAACUCGCUAAGGUCUGUUCAGUGACUGAGUCAAACUGCUACUAAAUUCUGAAUAAAUAUUUAUGUGGCUCAUUUCUGCCGUACUAAGACUGCACGCUAAAUAUGUCUGCGUGUCAAUCUAACCAAAAUAAAACCAUUACAUAGGUCUGAAUUUUAUUGAACAUGUGAUAAUUUUAUUUGACAUGAAAAAUUAAAAGCACUCGGAAGGUCUGACAAAGAUCUGGUGUUUAAAACUUAUCCUCAUCUUCCCAGAGGAACACUUUCCUGAGCCUUGGCAGUUUUAACCUGCUUUGGCUUUUUGAUUUGUAAACAUUCAUCGGUAUCUCUACACUUUUCUGCAAAUCUGCUCAAGAACAGUUUAUAUAAUAUUCAUUUUUAGUACAUAAGGGAGAAAUUAAGAGUCUUGCCAACACUUCCUAGAAUGUGUUGUCAUUUUUUUUUUCUGUCGAUGAACAAGUUACUCCCAUCUUUUGCUAACAGUUCAAUGCUUUGUCUUUUAUAAUAGCCAUUCAGUCGAUCUUGCAAUGAGAGUUUUGAGUAAAAUAUUCCUUAAGAAUUACUCCUGCUUCAUGUGAUCAGCUUUUUAUAUGAGUCUGUCAAAAAAAGCCUUCUGUUACUUUUGCCUAUUCCUCUACCCUUUUGGAAACCUCUCCAUCUCCAAUAAAUAAUCCCCAGAUUAUCUCUGCAGUUCCCAAGGGUUUUGCACAUGCCCUAAAAGUUUCUCAUGAAUCAUGGAAAUUCAGUGAAAUCAUUGAACAUCUUGGCAUUACCUGGGAGAAAUGAGAAGUCUUAAAAGAGGCUUGGUCUAGACUGUAACAAUACAUCCUGGUCAAGACACACUGAGCUUUCAAAGGAAUGGAAGUAUUAAAAGUAGUAUUAACUACAAUGGCAGUUUGAGUCUGAUGUUAACAAUUUAGGCUAAGGGUUUCAAGUAAUAAUGCUGAAAAAAGAGAUUGUUGACAGCUAACUGGUUGAACUGUGACAUUUCUUGUGUAUAUUUUUACACUAAGAGCAAUUUAGACUAAAAUUUACUGUUGAGAGUUGUUGAUAUGUUUGACCUUAACCAAAAUAGUAGUAUUAAAUUAUGUAAUCAUC
Molecule: long non-coding RNA, 1625 nt
Organism: Gallus gallus (chicken)
Lineage: Eukaryota; Metazoa; Chordata; Aves; Galliformes; Phasianidae
Source: Ensembl